RNAcentral lists this ribosomal RNA (253 nucleotides) under uncultured bacterium. Its description in RNAcentral is "partial 16S ribosomal RNA". It matches the Rfam family "Bacterial small subunit ribosomal RNA", at positions 524 to 776 of the family's 1533-position model. The record is from RNAcentral.
UACGGGGGGGGCAAGCGUUGUUCGGAAUUACUGGGCGUAAAGGGCUCGUAGGCGGCCAACUAAGUCAGACGUGAAAUCCCCAGGCUCAACCUGGGAACUGCGUCUGAUACUGGAUGGCUUGAGUCCGGGAGAGGGAUGCAGAAUUCCAGGUGUAGCGGUGAAAUGCGUAGAGAUCGGGAAGAAUACCCGUGGCGAAGGCGGCCGACUGGGCCGGAUCCGACGCUGAUGCGCGAAAGCGUGGGGAGCAAACAGG